CCUACGGGAGGCAGCAGUGAGGAAUAUUGGUCAAUGGCCGUAAGGCUGAACCAGCCAAGUCGCGUGAAGGAAGAAGGAUCUAUGGUUUGUAAACUUCUUUUAUAGGGGAAUAAAGGUAUCCACGUGUGGAUAUUUGCAUGUACCCUAUGAAUAAGCAUCGGCUAACUCCGUGCCAGCAGCCGCGGUAAUACGGAGGAUGCGAGCGUUAUCCGGAUUUAUUGGGUUUAAAGGGUGCGUAGGCUGUGAGGUAAGUCAGCGGUGAAAUGCCCCCGCUCAACGGGGUGAAGUGCCAUUGAUACUGCCUUGCUGGAAUGCGGAUGCCGUGGGAGGAAUGUGUGGUGUAGCGGUGAAAUGCAUAGAUAUCACACAGAACACCGAUUGCGAAGGCAUCUCACGAAUCCGCGAUUGACGCUGAUGCACGAAAGCGUGGGUAUCAAACAGGAUUAGAUACCCCUGUAGUC
RNAcentral lists this ribosomal RNA (461 nucleotides) under uncultured bacterium. Its description in RNAcentral is "partial 16S ribosomal RNA". It matches the Rfam family "Bacterial small subunit ribosomal RNA", at positions 338 to 795 of the family's 1533-position model. The record is from RNAcentral.